GGCCUCGUGGCGAAAUGGAUAUCGCGUCAGACUUCGGAUCUGAAGAUUGGGAGUUCGAUCCUCCUCGAGGUCG
This is a transfer RNA of Absidia repens, 73 nucleotides long. It matches the Rfam family "tRNA". From Rfam's summary of the family: Transfer RNA (tRNA) molecules are approximately 80 nucleotides in length. Their secondary structure includes four short double-helical elements and three loops (D, anti-codon, and T loops). Further hydrogen bonds mediate the characteristic L-shaped molecular structure. tRNAs have two regions of fundamental functional importance: the anti-codon, which is responsible for specific mRNA codon recognition, and the 3' end, to which the tRNAs corresponding amino acid is attached (by aminoacyl-tRNA synthetases). tRNAs cope with the degeneracy of the genetic code in two manners: having more than one tRNA (with a specific anti-codon) for a particular amino acid; and 'wobble' base-pairing, i.e. permitting non-standard base-pairing at the 3rd anti-codon position. Lineage: Eukaryota; Fungi; Mucoromycota; Mucoromycetes; Mucorales; Cunninghamellaceae. The record is from Rfam.